This 1344-nucleotide long non-coding RNA is filed under the name Brassica napus (rape). RNAcentral's name for it is "long non-coding RNA (BNAP_LNC022168)". Lineage: Eukaryota; Viridiplantae; Streptophyta; Magnoliopsida; Brassicales; Brassicaceae. The record is from RNAcentral.
CUAAUUUUCAAUAAAAGGUGGUCCUCUGUACAAGACGACUUAUCUCUUUAAAUACACGUUUGAAGAAAGAAAACCUUAAUAUCUAUUACACAAUCAUAAUAGUAUUAGUAAAACCCCAUACCAUAAAUAAAAGCCCAACUAAUAAUUAAAACAAGUAGUCUUCCGCCUUGCCUAGUGACAAAACUUGAAAGCAAAGGCGGACGUAGAGGAUGUGUUGGAUCAGGCCCCUAGAAGAAGAUUCGCCUCUGAAUCUUGAUCGUCGUUAUCACCAUAAAACUUGGAAAGAAACUUCACAUUGAACACGUUGGCCGCCUUAAUAUGAUCAGGCAGCUCGAGGCGAUAGACGUUGUCAUUUAUGCGUUCCAAUACCUUAACGGGUCCAAUCUUUCGCAACUGUAGCUUGUUAUAUUAUGUGCAGGAAGGAUAUCUUUGUCAGUACUACCCAAACCAAAUCACCUAAUAGCACUUCCGGAUGAUGGCAAGUAUCCCCACUCGCUUUAUGGGUGUUGCCUGGAAGGUGUUUCAUGGAUGAGGUUUGAUUGUGAUUCAUUCUUCGCUAAUCUAGUUAAUAAUGAGAGUUUUCAUUCUCGUUUUAAGAUUUCCAGUCUUUCUGUGUUUUGGUUCUUGCUAUGAUUUUAGCUUCCAUGGCUUCCUCUUUAUCCAAUAGUAACAAGAUCAAGUCUAAACUCAAUCACCACCUCCUCUGUCCUCUUCAGAAUCUCUCAUCUUCUAUAAUGCUACAAUCUCCAAAUUCCGCUGAAGCAAGAGGAAAUAUGCCACUUCCUCCACCAUCUUCACAUGUUAACACACCUCUUUCUCCACCAGUUCUUCAAUCUCAUACACCUCCUCCGCUUCAAUGUGGCUCUUCCUAUUUUUCCAGCACUAACAUCCGAUAAACCUAGGAGUGUGAUAGAUGAUUGAAUAGUGUUUCAAUAUUUGUCAUGAUGGAAAUAGAGAACAUCAGAGAUUGGUGCCACCGUCGACUGAUAAGUAAUGUUUGUUUGUUGUAGAUUUCACGGCAGAGAUACCAAAACACUGAAUCAAGAGUAUAGGGGAAGAUUGUUCUUCUCCGGAGAAUAAGCUACGUCAGAGAUUUACCUGUGACGUUUAGAGAAAUUUUUUUCCAACUUUUAAAUUAGAUUUUGAGGGAAAGUUUAUGUAAGUUUCGAGGGAAGAAAAAGAGAAGUAAUGGUAGAGAUUGAUUGGUCGACCUCUAAUUAGUUUUAAGUUUAGUUGAGGAUAUAUUGAGUUUUCUUUACUCAUACCAAAGUGUGCAAGAAGUUGAAAGUGCGUGUGUAAUUGAACUUUUAAAAUAUGUGUAUGAUCAAAAUGUAAAUGUAACUU